RNAcentral lists this ribosomal RNA (2931 nucleotides) under Escherichia coli O145:NM. RNAcentral describes it as "23S ribosomal RNA". It matches the Rfam family "Bacterial large subunit ribosomal RNA". Lineage: Bacteria; Pseudomonadati; Pseudomonadota; Gammaproteobacteria; Enterobacterales; Enterobacteriaceae. The record is from RNAcentral. RNAcentral also lists the same sequence under 1 other name.
GGGUUGUGAGGUUAAGCGACUAAGCGUACACGGUGGAUGCCCUGGCAGUCAGAGGCGAUGAAGGACGUGCUAAUCUGCGAUAAGCGUCGGUAAGGUGAUAUGAACCGUUAUAACCGGCGAUUUCCGAAUGGGGAAACCCAGUGUGUUUCGACACACUAUCAUUAACUGAAUCCAUAGGUUAAUGAGGCGAACCGGGGGAACUGAAACAUCUAAGUACCCCGAGGAAAAGAAAUCAACCGAGAUUCCCCCAGUAGCGGCGAGCGAACGGGGAGCAGCCCAGAGCCUGAAUCAGUGUGUGUGUUAGUGGAAGCGUCUGGAAAGGCGCGCGAUACAGGGUGACAGCCCCGUACACAAAAAUGCACAUACUGUGAGCUCGAUGAGUAGGGCGGGACACGUGGUAUCCUGUCUGAAUAUGGGGGGACCAUCCUCCAAGGCUAAAUACUCCUGACUGACCGAUAGUGAACCAGUACCGUGAGGGAAAGGCGAAAAGAACCCCGGCGAGGGGAGUGAAAAAGAACCUGAAACCGUGUACGUACAAGCAGUGGGAGCACGCUUCGGCGUGUGACUGCGUACCUUUUGUAUAAUGGGUCAGCGACUUAUAUUCUGUAGCAAGGUUAACCGAAUAGGGGAGCCGAAGGGAAACCGAGUCUUAACUGGGCGUUAAGUUGCAGGGUAUAGACCCGAAACCCGGUGAUCUAGCCAUGGGCAGGUUGAAGGUUGGGUAACACUAACUGGAGGACCGAACCGACUAAUGUUGAAAAAUUAGCGGAUGACUUGUGGCUGGGGGUGAAAGGCCAAUCAAACCGGGAGAUAGCUGGUUCUCCCCGAAAGCUAUUUAGGUAGCGCCUCGUGAACUCAUCUUCGGGGGUAGAGCACUGUUUCGGCAAGGGGGUCAUCCCGACUUACCAACCCGAUGCAAACUGCGAAUACCGGAGAAUGUUAUCACGGGAGACACACGGCGGGUGCUAACGUCCGUCGUGAAGAGGGAAACAACCCAGACCGCCAGCUAAGGUCCCAAAGUCAUGGUUAAGUGGGAAACGAUGUGGGAAGGCCCAGACAGCCAGGAUGUUGGCUUAGAAGCAGCCAUCAUUUAAAGAAAGCGUAAUAGCUCACUGGUCGAGUCGGCCUGCGCGGAAGAUGUAACGGGGCUAAACCAUGCACCGAAGCUGCGGCAGCGACACUAUGUGUUGUUGGGUAGGGGAGCGUUCUGUAAGCCUGUGAAGGUGUGCUGUGAGGCAUGCUGGAGGUAUCAGAAGUGCGAAUGCUGACAUAAGUAACGAUAAAGCGGGUGAAAAGCCCGCUCGCCGGAAGACCAAGGGUUCCUGUCCAACGUUAAUCGGGGCAGGGUGAGUCGACCCCUAAGGCGAGGCCGAAAGGCGUAGUCGAUGGGAAACAGGUUAAUAUUCCUGUACUUGGUGUUACUGCGAAGGGGGGACGGAGAAGGCUAUGUUGGCCGGGCGACGGUUGUCCCGGUUUAAGCGUGUAGGCUGGUUUUCCAGGCAAAUCCGGAAAAUCAAGGCUGAGGCGUGAUGACGAGGCACUACGGUGCUGAAGCAACAAAUGCCCUGCUUCCAGGAAAAGCCUCUAAGCAUCAGGUAACAUUAAAUCGUACCCCAAACCGACACAGGUGGUCAGGUAGAGAAUACCAAGGCGCUUGAGAGAACUCGGGUGAAGGAACUAGGCAAAAUGGUGCCGUAACUUCGGGAGAAGGCACGCUGAUAUGUAGGUGAAGUCCCUCGCGGAUGGAGCUGAAAUCAGUCGAAGAUACCAGCUGGCUGCAACUGUUUAUUAAAAACACAGCACUGUGCAAACACGAAAGUGGACGUAUACGGUGUGACGCCUGCCCGGUGCCGGAAGGUUAAUUGAUGGGGUUAGCGGUAACGCGAAGCUCUUGAUCGAAGCCCCGGUAAACGGCGGCCGUAACUAUAACGGUCCUAAGGUAGCGAAAUUCCUUGUCGGGUAAGUUCCGACCUGCACGAAUGGCGUAAUGAUGGCCAGGCUGUCUCCACCCGAGACUCAGUGAAAUUGAACUCGCUGUGAAGAUGCAGUGUACCCGCGGCAAGACGGAAAGACCCCGUGAACCUUUACUAUAGCUUGACACUGAACAUUGAGCCUUGAUGUGUAGGAUAGGUGGGAGGCUUUGAAGUGUGGACGCCAGUCUGCAUGGAGCCGACCUUGAAAUACCACCCUUUAAUGUUUGAUGUUCUAACGUUGACCCGUAAUCCGGGUUGCGGACAGUGUCUGGUGGGUAGUUUGACUGGGGCGGUCUCCUCCUAAAGAGUAACGGAGGAGCACGAAGGUUGGCUAAUCCUGGUCGGACAUCAGGAGGUUAGUGCAAUGGCAUAAGCCAGCUUGACUGCGAGCGUGACGGCGCGAGCAGGUGCGAAAGCAGGUCAUAGUGAUCCGGUGGUUCUGAAUGGAAGGGCCAUCGCUCAACGGAUAAAAGGUACUCCGGGGAUAACAGGCUGAUACCGCCCAAGAGUUCAUAUCGACGGCGGUGUUUGGCACCUCGAUGUCGGCUCAUCACAUCCUGGGGCUGAAGUAGGUCCCAAGGGUAUGGCUGUUCGCCAUUUAAAGUGGUACGCGAGCUGGGUUUAGAACGUCGUGAGACAGUUCGGUCCCUAUCUGCCGUGGGCGCUGGAGAACUGAGGGGGGCUGCUCCUAGUACGAGAGGACCGGAGUGGACGCAUCACUGGUGUUCGGGUUGUCAUGCCAAUGGCACUGCCCGGUAGCUAAAUGCGGAAGAGAUAAGUGCUGAAAGCAUCUAAGCACGAAACUUGCCCCGAGAUGAGUUCUCCCUGACCCUUUAAGGGUCCUGAAGGAACGUUGAAGACGACGACGUUGAUAGGCCGGGUGUGUAAGCGCAGCGAUGCGUUGAGCUAACCGGUACUAAUGAACCGUGAGGCUUAACCUUACAACGCCGAAGCUGUU